Molecule: RNA transcript, 2185 nt
Organism: Acanthochromis polyacanthus (spiny chromis)
Lineage: Eukaryota; Metazoa; Chordata; Actinopteri; Pomacentridae
Gene name: leukocyte elastase inhibitor-like
Exons: 11
Source: RefSeq, a predicted model, not a curated record
CUGGGUGUGUCCACAUAUAAAUAAUAAAACCAAACACAAGUUUUCCUGUCGCAGAAAGACUUCCAAUCGCUCAAGGACCACAAGGAGCUCUCCUGUCAGUGAGUAAACGAAACAAUGGCAUCUCCAAGCCCCCUAGCUCAGGCCAACACCAAAUUCUCUCUGGCUUUGUUCAAGAACCUUGGCGAUAAUGACAAGACAGCAAACCUCUUCUACUCCCCCUUCAGCAUCUCUUCUGCCCUGGCUAUGGUGAUGCUGGGGGCGAGGGGCAACACAGAAGCGCAGAUGUCAGAGUGUCUGAAAACCGAGGCUUGUAAGGCUGAAGUCCACUCUGACUUUGGUCAGCUGCUGAGUGAGCUGAACAAAUCAGACGCUCCGUACGCCCUCAGUGUUGCCAACAGACUCUAUGGAGAGCAGUCCUACCAGUUUGUUCAGGAGUUCUUGGGAAAAACCAGGAAGCACUACAACGCUGAGCUGGAAUCUGUGGACUUCAUCACUGACUAUGAAAAAGCCAGAUUCAACAUCAACAGCUGGGUGGAGAAACAAACACAAGGUAAAAUUAAGGAUGUGCUGGCCCAGGGUGUGGUGGACGACAUGACCAGGUUGGUGCUGGUCAAUGCCAUCUACUUCAAGGGCAAGUGGAACAAGCAGUUUAAGGAGAGCUCCACACGUGAUGCUCCAUUUAGAGUCAACAAGAAUGAAACCAAGUCCGUGAAGAUGAUGUACCAGACAACUGAGUUUCCUUUGAAGUCCAUCCCCGAAGUGAACUGCAAGAUCCUAGAGAUGCCCUACAAAGGCAAGGAGCUCAGCAUGCUCAUCUUCCUCCCCAAUGACAUGGAGGACAGUACUACAGGCCUGGAGAAGCUGGAGAAGGAGCUGACCUAUGAGAAGUUUGUGGAGUGGACUCGUCCAGACAGGAUAUAUGAAGUUGAGGUCCAGGUGGGUCUGCCUCGAUUCAAGAUGGAGGAGAAGUACGACAUGAAGAAGGUCCUGGUCAGCAUGGGCAUGGUGGACGCCUUUGACAUGGGAAAGAGUGACUUCUCUGGCAUGUCUCCUGUCAAUGACCUGGUGCUGUCUGAAGUCAUCCAUAAGGCUUUCGUGGAGGUCAACGAGGAGGGAACUGAGGCUGCUGCUGCCACCGUUGCUACCUAUGUUGAUUGUUCCUACACACCUCCAGCCAAAUUCAUCGCAGACCACCCCUUCCUCUUCUUCAUCCGACACAACCCUUCCAUGAGCAUCCUCUUUGCUGGCCGAUACUGCUCCCCUGAGUGAGAGCGUCGUUGUUUAGAGCAGGUUUUCCCAACAGAGGGAGGUUACAACACAUAUAAUCUGCAAUAGUGUAACGUUUUAUUCUGCAUCACUGGAAGAAUGUUGAGAAUAAUCGCUCUACAGUUUCUUGUCGCUAAUCACACCCUGAGUUCCCGUCCAAUGUUUCCAACACCAGGAUUAUGAGUAAAAACGAUGGUGUUGGAUCUUCUAAACCUGAUCUCUCUCAUUUGUGUCUCUUCUCAUAUAAAUGAUUGUGAAUUUGUCCUGUGCCUUCCUGAACAUUCAGCUCUAGCACUGUUUAGGCUAAUCUCAUCCUUUACUUUAUGUCUGCAAUGCACGUAUGGUCCUGUUUGCUGCAGUCUUACUCUACUGUGGUUCAUCUCUCCAUAUUGUUUAGUUUAUCCUGCACCUUACAUCCUUUUAAUGAAUUUAACUUUAAAUUGUCCCUUUUUCACCCAGCAGCUCAGACAUCAACUGUACCUUUUGGCUGCAAUGUUCUCUGUACUUUAUCUACAUAACAAGCAAUUAUAUCGUUCUGUUACAUUUAACUGUGCCUUUAUGCAUAUAAUAAAAAUGGAUUAAAAAUAAGAACUUACAUGAAGGUUUGAACUGGUUUUGAGUCCAGGUCCUUUUGGUGUAUCCCUGUGUUUUUAAAUAUGGAAUAAAAGUGUGUGGUUUGCAAAUAUUGUAUGUCACAUUUAAAAAAAAGUUUUUACUGAUAUUUUCUCUGAUGUAAUUUUAAAAACAGUGGAGUUUAUAAUGUAGUUUAAUCAUGUAGAAGAGCUAAUAUCACACUGGAUUUCACUGUAGAAGUGAUUUUAGUUCUUCUUUACAACAAACUGUUUUCAUCAUGUAUCACCUAAAGGCCUUUUUAAUCUUUAAAACACUACAUAAAUUUCAGUCAGUAACUCUUUUCUGA